UAAGGAAUAUUGGUCAAUGGGGGCAACCCUGAACCAGCCAUGCCGCGUGCAGGAAGGACGGCCCUACGGGUUGUAAACUGCUUUUAUACGGGAAUAAACCUCUUUACGUGUAGAGAGUUGAAUGUACUGUAAGAAUAAGGAUCGGCUAACUCCGUG
RNAcentral lists this ribosomal RNA (156 nucleotides) under uncultured bacterium. RNAcentral describes it as "partial 16S ribosomal RNA". It matches the Rfam family "Bacterial small subunit ribosomal RNA", at positions 355 to 507 of the family's 1533-position model. The record is from RNAcentral.